GACGAACGCUGGCGGCGUGCUUAACACAUGCAAGUCGAACGAUGAAGCUGGAGCUUGCUCCGGUGGAUUAGUGGCGAACGGGUGAGUAACACGUGAGCAAUCUGCCCUUGACUCUGGGAUAACUGCGGGAAACUGUAGCUAAUACCGGAUACUUUCACUGGAAGGCAUCUUCUGGUGAAGAAAGAAUCUCGGUCAAGGAUGGACUCGCGGCCUAUCAGCUAGUUGGUGAGGUAACGGCUCACCAAGGCGACGACGGGUAGCCGGCCUGAGAGGGUGACCGGCCACACUGGGACUGAGACACGGCCCAGACUCCUACGGGAGGCAGCAGUGGGGAAUAUUGCACAAUGGGCGCAAGCCUGAUGCAGCAACGCCGCGUGAGGGAUGACGGCCUUCGGGUUGUAAACCUCUUUUAGUAGGGAAGAAGCGAAAGUGACGGUACCUGCAGAAAAAGCACCGGCUAACUACGUGCCAGCAGCCGCCGUAA
Molecule: ribosomal RNA, 484 nt
Filed under: uncultured bacterium
Lineage: Bacteria
Description: partial 16S ribosomal RNA
Rfam family: Bacterial small subunit ribosomal RNA
Source: RNAcentral